UGCAGUUGAGCGCUGAAGACUGGUACUUGUACCGGUUGGAUGAGCAGCCAUUUGGUGAGUAACGCGUGGGUAACCUGCCCUAUAGAGGGGGAUAACUAGAGGAAACUUUAGCUAAUACCGCAUAAAAUCUAAUAACACAUGUUAUAAGAUUGAAAGUGCCAACUGGUACACUAUAGGAUGGACCCGCGUUGUAUUAGCUAGUUGGUGAGGUAAAGGCUCACCAAGGCGAUGAUACAUAGCCGACCUGAGAGGGUGAUCGGCCACACUGGGACUGAGACACGGCCCAGACUCCUACGGGAGGCAGCAGUAGGGAAUCUUCGGCAAUGGACGAAAGUCUGACCGAGCAACGCCGCGUGAGUGAAGAAGGUUUUCGGAUCGUAAAACUCUGUUGUAAGAGAAGAACACCAGUAAGAGUGGAAAGCUUACUGGCUGAUGGUAUCUUACCAGAAAGCCACGGCUAACUACGUGCCAGCAGCCGCGGUAAUACGUAGGUGGCAAGCGUUGUCCGGAUUUAUUGGGCGUAAAGCGAGCGCAGGCGGUUCAUUAAGUCUGAUGUAAAAGGCAGUGGCUCAACCAUUGUAAGCAUUGGAAACUGGUGAACUUGAGUGCAGUAGAGGAGAGUGGAAUUCCAUGUGU
Molecule: ribosomal RNA, 636 nt
Filed under: uncultured bacterium
Lineage: Bacteria
Description: bacterial SSU rRNA
Rfam family: Bacterial small subunit ribosomal RNA
Source: RNAcentral